UACGGAGGGGACUAGCGUUGUUCGGAAUUACUGGGCGUAAAGCGCACGUAGGCGGAUUUGUAAGUCAGGGGUGAAAGCCCGGGGCUCAACUCAGAGUCUGCCAUAGAAACUGCAGUGCUGGAGUGUGGGAGAGGUGAGUGGAAUUCCCGGUGUAGCGGUGGAAUGCGUAGAUAUCGGGAGGAACACCAGUGGCGAAGGCGGUUGCCUGGGGCUUUGCUGACGCUGAUGCGCGAAAGCGUGGGGAGCGAUCCGG
Molecule: ribosomal RNA, 253 nt
Filed under: uncultured bacterium
Lineage: Bacteria
Description: partial 16S ribosomal RNA
Rfam family: Bacterial small subunit ribosomal RNA
Source: RNAcentral